CCUACGGGAGGCAGCAGUGGGGAAUAUUGGGCAAUGGGCGCAAGCCUGACCCAGCAACGCCGCGUGAAGGAAGAAGGCUUUCGGGUUGUAAACUUCUUUUAUCAGGGACGAAGCAAGUGACGGUACCUGAUGAAUAAGCCACGGCUAACUACGUGCCAGCGGCCGCGGUACUACGUAGGUGGCGAGCGUUAUCCGGAUUUACUGGGUGUAAGGGGCGUGUAGGCGGGAAUGCAAGUCAGAUGUGAAAACUAUGGGCUCAACCCAUAGCCUGCAUUUGAAACUGGAUUUCUUGAGUGCUGGAGAGGCAAUCGGAAUUCCGGGUGUAGCGGUGAAAUGCGUAGAUAUACGGAGGAACACCAGUGGCGAAGGCGGAUUGCUGGACAGUAACUGACGCUGAGGCGCGAAAGCGUGGGGAGCAAACAGGAUUAGAUACCCUAGUAGUC
Molecule: ribosomal RNA, 443 nt
Filed under: uncultured bacterium
Lineage: Bacteria
Description: partial 16S ribosomal RNA
Rfam family: Bacterial small subunit ribosomal RNA
Source: RNAcentral